Molecule: ribosomal RNA, 564 nt
Filed under: uncultured Glomeromycotina
Lineage: Eukaryota; Fungi; Glomeromycota
Description: SSU rRNA
Rfam family: Eukaryotic small subunit ribosomal RNA
Source: RNAcentral
UUGGAGGGCAAGUCUGGUGCCAGCAGCCGCGGUAAUUCCAGCUCCAAUAGCGUAUAUUAAAGUUGUUGCAGUUAAAAAGCUCGUAGUUGAAUUUCGGGGUUAGUAGGUUGGUCAUGCCUCUGGUAUGCACUGGUCUCGCUGAUUCCUCCUUCCUGAUGAGCCGUAAUGCCAUUAAUUUGGUGUUGCGGGGAAUUUGGACUGUUACUUUGAAAAAAUUAGAGUGUUUAAGCAAGCUAACGCUUGAAUACAUUAGCAUGGAAUAAUGAAAUAGGACGUUCGAUCCUAUUUUGUUGGUUUCUAGGAUUGACAUAAUGAUUAAUAGGGAUAGUUGGGGGCAUUAGUAUUCAAUUGUCAGAGGUGAAAUUCUUGGAUUUAUUGAAGACUAACUACUGCGAAAGCAUUUGCCAAGGAUGUUUUCAUUAAUCAAGAACGAAAGUUAGGGGAUCGAAGACGAUCAGAUACCGUCGUAGUCUUAACCAUAAACUAUGCCGACUAGGGAUCGGAUGAUGUUAAUUUUUUAAUGACUCAUUCGGCGCCUUACGGGAAACCAAAGUGUUUGGGUUC